AUACGGAGGGUGCAAGCGUUAAUCGGAAUUACUGGGCGUAAAGCGUGCGUAGGCGGCUCGAUUAGUCAGAUGUGAAAGCCCUGGGCUCAACCUGGGAACUGCAUUUGAUACUGUCGAGCUAGAGUUUAGUAGAGGGAAGUGGAAUUCCCGGUGUAGCGGUGGAAUGCGUAGAUAUCGGGAGGAACACCAGUGGCGAAGGCGGCUUCCUGGACUAAAACUGACGCUGAGGUACGAAAGCGUGCGGAGCAAACAGGAUUAGAAACCCCAGUAGUCC
This 274-nucleotide ribosomal RNA is filed under the name uncultured bacterium. Its description in RNAcentral is "partial 16S ribosomal RNA". It matches the Rfam family "Bacterial small subunit ribosomal RNA", at positions 523 to 796 of the family's 1533-position model. The record is from RNAcentral.